Molecule: ribosomal RNA, 441 nt
Filed under: Triticum aestivum (bread wheat)
Lineage: Eukaryota; Viridiplantae; Streptophyta; Magnoliopsida; Poales; Poaceae
Description: partial small subunit ribosomal RNA
Source: RNAcentral
AUGGCAUUCAUCGCCGUAUUGGCGGCGUGGAAGGCGCCUUCAAGCCUGCACUUGCGGCUCGGGUCGACGAGGCAGCCGCAACAGGCCAACAGCCGCAACGGACCAAAGAAAUUAGAUCCAUCCAGCUUAGUGCAAUGGAAUCGACCAGGGUCACAUGCAAGAUUACGGGAAGCAUAUAACCUGAGCUCUACGAGGUUGAACAAGUCUGGACUGAUACAAGGUAUUGCUAGGUGGACCUUGCCAGAGCAAUCAAGUAAAUUAGCAGAUUUCAGCAGGAAAAGGGUUACUCACAGGCCUCAUAAGCAAUAUGAGGAACCCGGGAAGAAGUACAAGUUAGCUACAAAAGAUGGAAAUGAUGCGCCAACAAAUACACCAAUCUUGUUUAGUACAAAAUGGGAUGCAGAUGAUUCCAAAAGACUGAUGGUCCACCAUAAUAUAUAG